Molecule: ribosomal RNA, 253 nt
Filed under: uncultured bacterium
Lineage: Bacteria
Description: partial 16S ribosomal RNA
Rfam family: Bacterial small subunit ribosomal RNA
Source: RNAcentral
UACGUAGGGUGCAAGCGUUAAUCGGAAUUACUGGGCGUAAAGCGUGCGCAGGCGGUGAGCUGUGUCCGAUGUGAAAGCCCCGGGCUUAACCUGGGAAUGGCAUUGGAAACUGGCUCGCUGGAGUGUGGCAGAGGGGGGUGGAAUUCCGCGUGUAGCAGUGAAAUGCGUAGAUAUGCGGAGGAACACCGAUGGCGAAGGCAAUCCCCUGGGCGUGCACUGACGCUCAUGCACGAAAGCGUGGGGAGCAAACAGG